UUCUAUCAGAAAUCAUUGAUAGUAAAAUCUGCUCACUGAUAAAUUAAAGAGCCGCAAUCGUGCUAAGGUAGCAUAAUCACUCGUCUUUUAAUUGAGGACUAGAACAAAAGAUUUAACAUUUCAAUUAAUUUUAAUAUUUUACUUUAUAAAACUUUUCUCAAAUGUAAAAAGACAUUUAUCCAAAAGAAAGACGAUAAGACCCUAUUGAACUUAACUUCAGUUUUACUGGGGCAGUAAAUUAAUUAAUAUUUUAAUAUUAUUACUACAAAAAGUAUCUAAUACCAUUAAAUAAUUCAGUUACCAUAGGGAUAACAGCAUAAUUAUUUUUCAAAGUACUUAUAUAAAAAAUAGAUUGUGACCUCGAUGUUGAAUUAAUGACCUAAUUAGAGCAAGAUUUAAUAAAGGAAGUCUGUUCGACUUUUAAAAAAUU
This 430-nucleotide ribosomal RNA is filed under the name Stenaelurillus metallicus. Its description in RNAcentral is "partial 16S ribosomal RNA". Lineage: Eukaryota; Metazoa; Arthropoda; Arachnida; Araneae; Salticidae. The record is from RNAcentral.